This 45-nucleotide non-coding RNA is filed under the name Schistosoma mattheei. Lineage: Eukaryota; Metazoa; Platyhelminthes; Trematoda; Strigeidida; Schistosomatidae. The record is from RNAcentral.
AUCCAGAUAACGAGUUCCAAACAGAACGAAACGCUCAUCCUGGAU